Molecule: ribosomal RNA, 461 nt
Filed under: rape rhizosphere bacterium cse035
Lineage: Bacteria
Description: bacterial SSU rRNA
Rfam family: Bacterial small subunit ribosomal RNA
Source: RNAcentral
GAGNNAACGCUGGCGGUAGGCCUAACACAUGCAAGUCGAACGGCAGCACAGGAGAGCUUGCUCUCUGGGUGGCGAGUGGCGGACGGGUGAGGAAUGCAUCGGAAUCUACUCUUUCGUGGGGGAUAACGUAGGGAAACUUACGCUAAUACCGCAUACGACCUACGGGUGAAAGCCGGGGACCUUCGGGCCUGGCGCGAAUGAAUGAGCCGAUGCCCGAUUAGCUAGUUGGCGGGGUAAGAGCCCACCAAGGCGACGAUCGGUAGCUGGUCUGAGAGGAUGAUCAGCCACACUGGAACUGAGACACGGUCCAGACUCCUACGGGAGGCAGCAGUGGGGAAUAUUGGACAAUGGGCGCAAGCCUGAUCCAGCCAUACCGCGUGGGUGAAGAAGGCCUUCGGGUUGUAAAGCCCUUUUGUUGGGAAAGAAAAGCAGCUGGUUAAUACCCGGUUGUCNUGACGGUA